RNAcentral lists this ribosomal RNA (301 nucleotides) under uncultured bacterium. Its description in RNAcentral is "partial 16S ribosomal RNA". It matches the Rfam family "Bacterial small subunit ribosomal RNA", at positions 509 to 807 of the family's 1533-position model. The record is from RNAcentral.
CAGCAGCCGCGGUAAUACGUAGGUGGCAAGCGUUGUCCGGAAUUAUUGGGCGUAAAGGGCUCGCAGGCGGUUUCUUAAGUCUGAUGUGAAAGCCCCCGGCUCAACCGGGGAGGGUCAUUGGAAACCGGGAAACUUGAGUGCAGAAGAGGAGAGUGGAAUUCCACGUGUAGCGGUGAAAUGCGUAGAGAUGUGGAGGAACACCAGUGGCGAAGGCGACUCUCUGGUCUGUAACUGACGCUGAGGAGCGAAAGCGUGGGGAGCGAACAGGAUUAGAUACCCCCGUAGUCCCUGUCUCUUAUAC